Bacillus rossius redtenbacheri is the source of this 3742-nucleotide long non-coding RNA. RefSeq lists it as uncharacterized. Lineage: Eukaryota; Metazoa; Arthropoda; Insecta; Phasmatodea; Bacillidae. The transcript is spliced from 2 exons. The record is from RefSeq and is a predicted model, not a curated record.
GGUUGAAAUUUUGCAGGGUUGUUGAAAUCAAAUUUAGGGACUUUACUGACGGGACUCUGGGCUGGCUGCUCUGUUCACUCGUCAGCGCAAGUGGCGUGACCAUGUAAUUGGGGCACGGGGCCGGCGCGGCGCGCUGCGGGCUUGCAGAAUUUUGUUUGUUUGUUUGGCCGCGCGCUGGCGCAGCCACGGGCCGCAGUUACUGGGGCGCGCUGUCGUAACAAGCCGCGCGGUGUGGCCUGCACAUUGGGGUAGAGGGGGGGUAGUCUUCCCAGAUGUUCUAGUUAGUUGUUUAGUAAAUUUGACUUCAAUAACGAGCUUUUGUUAUGGUAGGCGCGGCAGGGCGCGCGAAUUUAAGCGCAAGUGAUUGGUGACUCGGGGCUCACUCAGGCGGAGGCUAUGCGUCUCACCUGUGGUCACGAGUUGUUAGUUCGUUCGUGAUGUAGGAAUUCAAGCUUUCGGGCGGAAGCUAUGGUCGACGCCAGAGGCCACGAGUCGUUUAAUUUAAGUUAGGUCAUAAUGUAGUCGUCAAGCUUUCGGGCGGAGGCUAUGGCCCUCGUCAGGGGUCACGCGUCAUAGUUUUUAAAAUGUAAUGUUCGUUCGGGAUUUCAAGGGCAGGAGAGGCCCCUACGUUAUUUUUUUAAAGUAAUCGAUCAAGAAAGGCUUUUCGGAAAAUGUGAGUAUGGACUUAUCUUUGUUUUAAUUUUAAGUAUUAAUUAUGAUUUGAGGUAUUCGGAAGGACUAGGGAAGUGUUUAGUGAAGUUCUCUCAUUCUCUCUCUUGUAAGGUCGUUCAAUCGUUAAGGAAGUAAAGAGAUUAUUGUUUUAAAUUGUAAUCCCGCUAUUUAAAUGUUCUUUAAAAUGAUGUUGAGUAUUUGACUUUAAGAAUAAAAUAAUUUUAAUUAAGUAUUAUGUUAUUUUGCAAAAUCUCCUUAGUUCAGCUCUCACCAGACAUCCUGUACGGGAUGACGAACCUAUGAUCCUAGGUACAGUAAAGUAUUUUAUGAAGUUAAGACUAGUUGAUGCCAAGCGAGUUGUUUCUAUGUAAAGAGCUACGAUUCUCUCCCCCCUCUGAAAGUGGAUCGUGACAGAAAUGGCGGUGGCACCGGCUAGGUGCACGUGACAGAAAUGGUAGAGUUCGCCGGAUAGGUUCUAUUUCUGGAGAGAGAGAGAGGUAGAUUUUUAUGUUUAUUAUUAAGUUAGUUUCAGCUUCUGAUAGCAGGUUAUUAAGAGUUUACUUGAGGAGAGGAUUACGGAAUUUAAUCUAAGUGGAGGAAGUCUUUGAGAUUUUUUUUUUGACGUAACAGAUGAUUAUUUGAGUAUACUUGUAAGGAUAAAGUUUAUAGUGAUAAGUUGUUUUAAGUCGUUGAAUUUAUUGUAGAUUUAUAUCGGGGAUUAUUACGUGAGGAGAAUACGUUAUAAGUUAAAUGCUUAUUAGAGAUAAUGCAAGUGGUUUAAUUUAAUUGAAGUUCAUUUUAAGAUUGUAGGUUAAGAGAAUUAUAAUUUAAAAUAAAGUUUUUUGUCGUAAAUAGGAAUUAUUUUCAAGAGAAGUUUGUUUUGUUUUCGUGCGCGUAGGAGACGAGACGUACGAAUUAAAUCAGUCGAGGGAAGGAUAAACGUUAGAAAGGAAUUAAAGAGAAAACGAGAGUUUAUGUAAAAGAGAGUUAUAGAAUUUAUAGUGAUGUUUUGUUUUAAUUAGAAAAAUGUUGAGAGUUGUUUCAGAACGACACGUCAGUGGACGUGGCAGAGUGAACACGUGACGGGGAGGUGCUGAGACCUAGCGGAGAACGGAGGAACCGCAAGCGAGGGUUGGCGCACCUGAUGGAAUUCGGUGACGUCACGGGCUCAUACGGAGACGUGGACAGGCCGUGACCUUGUUUUGAUCAGCUGUACGGUAACUUAGCGAUAAGAAAAUAGACUAUUGGUUAAAUAAAUUUAAAUUUAAGUGUGUUUUAGGAGAAGAGGAACUUUCAGUAUAUUCCUUAAGAUGAGCUGAGCAGCAGUCCAGUUUACAAGAUGACAAGAGUUCGAGAGACAAGAUACAAGAUCACUGAAACAAGAGCCAAGACUGAAGAUUCAAGAGAAGAGAAAGCUGGCAGCCAUGGACUUACAAGUGGAGAUUAAUAAGGUCAUGUAAAGUUUUAUUUUUUUUUAUGGAAGACAGUAACUGGAGUUUUUUUUUUGUUAUAAACAUUAUUUACAGAACUUUUUAGGUUAUAGUAAUGUAAUGGAACUAGUGAGUUGUGGUAGCUGUCAAAAAGAACUAAUACCUUAAGUUUAAUUUUUAAAGUUAAUUUUCUUAAUUUACAGAGGGAUUAGUAGUUUUUUUUAAACCUUAUUUAGGUUGGAAUUUAAAUACAAUAGCUUAUUAUAAAUGUGUACGAACAGUUCAAGUUCACAGUACUGAUAGGUAGGUCAGAUGAUCUUAUUGAUUUUGAUGAUUUGUUGUUUUGAGUUGAUUUUUAAGUGUUGUGAAUUAGACAAUGAAAUAGUUCUGAAAACUUAAAUUAUUUCAAGCUAAGAAAUAGUAAAGUUAAUUGUAACUCAAAGGACACCAGAAUUUAAUUUUUUUUUGAAUUAGUAAUGUUUGAAAAUUUUAUACUUUACAAGAAAGGUUAUAAACAAACAGAUCGGAUGGAACAAGGAUGCAGUAAAUCACAAUUUCAUUUAGAAUUAUUGAUUAGCUUUUGAGGUUAUGAAGUAAAAGUAAUUAUAGUUUAAAAGUUUGAAUAAAAAAAAAAUGUUUUUUUUUUUAUUUGUUUGAAAUAGAAAGUUUAAAAGUUAAUUAGUCAUGAUCUAGGUGGGUGAUGGGGUGGGAAUUGGCCACUCUUUUUCCCUAUAACCUCCCUAACAUGGCCUUCUAUUACAACUAACAGAAAUAAAGAAGAAGAAAAAUGAAGAAUUAUUAGUUAGAAUGUUUCUUUCAUGAAGAUACCUGAUGAACUUUUACUGUUUGGAAGAAUAGAAGCAAGGUUAGUCAGAUAUUUUUACUCAGAAGAAGAAGAAGAUAAAGCAGUUUUAUGACUCGACAAGCCAGAGAUUGGUGUUUCCCCUCUGCGCUUCUAUUGACUACGUUGUUUACUCUCAUGGGAUAGCUGGUUCGGCACCAUGGAGAGAGAUUGGUGGGCAUUGUGGUUGCCCCCAGAAGAAAAGAAGAGUAGAAGAGGUUAUGGGUGGGUCAUGUGAACUGACCUUCAACCCAGUUACUUCGUGGGGACUAUUUGCUGUAUAGAGAAGAUCAAGACUCAAGAGUUAGGGAAAAUCAUUGGAGGUCAUGUUUCCCUUCCUUAAGUUUUUCCUAUCAAAUUAUUUGCCUGAUUAGAUUAUGCUAAGGGUGGGAUACUUUAUGUUAGCAGUUGAAUUAAUUAAUUUUAUUUUUUUGUGUGUUUGCAUCCUUGCCCAUCGAUUGCAGUUUAGUAGUUAGUUUUGUAUUUGUCAGGCGUGAUGGUAAUGCCUGUUGAUGAUGUUUCAGAAUUGUAAUCUGUUCGUGAUGAGGAUGGCACAACUCCGAAGCAGAUGUGGGGAGAAGUUGUGAGCUGCCCUGGAAGCCAGUCCAGUAGCUGUUGGAGUUGAGUGGUGUUUGCUGAUGGCCAGCCCAGGGAGCUACUCUUCUCGACAACACUGACUUCGAGGAGUUGCACCAACCUUCACGAGAUAAGAGUUUAAUUAAUUGAAACACUGUAAGGACACUUAAUUUUUUUUGAAGAACGAAAGAAGUAUGGUAAUAAACGGAAACCGAAAAAAAAA